RNAcentral lists this ribosomal RNA (459 nucleotides) under uncultured bacterium. RNAcentral's name for it is "partial 16S ribosomal RNA". It matches the Rfam family "Bacterial small subunit ribosomal RNA", at positions 338 to 795 of the family's 1533-position model. The record is from RNAcentral.
CCUACGGGAGGCAGCAGUGAGGAAUAUUGGUCAAUGGCCGGAAGGCUGAACCAGCCAUGCCGCGUGAAGGUCAGUGCCCUAUGGGCGUUAAACUUCUUUUGUGCGGGAGCAAUAAUGGUCACGUGUGGCCAGACGAGAGUACCGUACGAAUAAGCAUCGGCUAACUCCGUUCCAGCAGCCGCGGUAAUACGGGGGAUGCAAGCGUUAUCCGGAUUUAUUGGGUUUAAAGGGUGCGUAGGCUGUGAGUUAAGUCAGCGGUGAAAUGCCCCCGCUCAACGGGGUGAAGUGCAAUUGAUACUGCCUGGCUGGAAUGCGGAUGCCGAGGGAGGAAUGUGGGGUGUAGCGGUGAAAUGCAUGGAUAUCACACAGAACACCGAUUGCGAAGGCAUCUCACGAAUCCGCGAUUGACGCUGAUGCACGAAAGCGUGGGUAUCAAACAGGAUUAGAUCCCCUGUAGUC